AGAGUUUGAUCAUGGCUCAGGAUGAACGCUGGCGGCGUGCCUAAUACAUGCAAGUCGAACGAGUUCUGAUUAUUGAAAGGUGCUUGCAUCUUGAUUUAAUUUUGAACGAGUGGCGGACGGGUGAGUAACACGUGGGUAACCUGCCCUUAAGUGGGGGAUAACAUUUGGAAACAGAUGCUAAUACCGCAUAAAUCCAAGAACCGCAUGGUUCUUGGCUGAAAGAUGGCGUAAGCUAUCGCUUUUGGAUGGACCCGCGGCGUAUUAGCUAGUUGGUGAGGUAACGGCUCACCAAGGCAAUGAUACGUAGCCGAACUGAGAGGUUGAUCGGCCACAUUGGGACUGAGACACGGCCCAAACUCCUACGGGAGGCAGCAGUAGGGAAUCUUCCACAAUGGACGCAAGUCUGAUGGAGCAACGCCGCGUGAGUGAAGAAGGCUUUCGGGUCGUAAAACUCUGUUGUUGGAGAAGAAUGGUCGGCAGAGUAACUGUUGUCGGCGUGACGGUAUCCAACCAGAAAGCCACGGCUAACUACGUGCCAGCAGCCGCGGUAAUACGUAGGUGGCAAGCGUUAUCCGGAUUUAUUGGGCGUAACUGCGAGCGCAGGGGGUUUUUUAAGUCUGAUGUGAAAGCCCUCGGCUUAACCGAGGAAGUGCAUCAGAAACUGGGAAACUUGAGUGCAGAAGAGGACAGUGGAACUCCAUGAGGUAGCGGUGAAAUGCGUAGAUAUAUGGAAGAACACCAGUGGCGAAGGCGGCUGUCUGGUCUGUAACUGACGCUGAGGCUCGAAAGCAUGGGUAGCGAACAGGAUUAGAUACCCUGGUAGUCCAUGCCGUAAACGAUGAAUGCUAGGCGUUGGAGGGUUUCCGCCCCUCAGUGCCGCAGCUAACGCAUUAAGCAUUCCGCCUGGGGAGUACGACCGCAAGGUUGAAACUCAAAGGAAUUGACGGGGGCCCGCACAAGCGGUGGAGCAUGUGGUUUAAUUCGAAGCAACGCGAAGAACCUUACCAGGUCUUGACAUCUUUUGAUCACCUGAGAGAUCAGGUUUCCCCUUCGGGAGCAAAAUGACAGGUGGUGCAUGGUUGUCGUCAGCUCGUGUCGUGAGAUGUUGGGUUAAGUCCCGCAACGAGCGCAACCCUUAUGACUAGUUGCCAGCAUUUAGUUGGGCACUCUAGUAAGACUGCCGGUGACAAACCGGAGGAAGGUGGGGAUGACGUCAAAUCAUCAUGCCCCUUAUGACCUGGGCUACACACGUGCUACAAUGGAUGGUACAACGAGUUGCGAGACCGCGAGGUCAAGCUAAUCUCUUAAAGCCAUUCUCAGUUCGGACUGUAGGCUGCAACUCGCCUACGCGAAGUCGGAAUCGCUAGUAAUCGCGGAUCAGCACGCCGCGGUGAAUACGUUCCCGGGCCUUGUACACACCGCCCGUCACACCAUGAGAGUUUGUAACACCCGAAGCCGGUGGCGUAACCCUUUUAGGGAGCGAGCCGUCUAAGGUGGGACAAAUGAUUAGGGUGAAGUCGUAACAAGGUAGCCGUA
Molecule: ribosomal RNA, 1536 nt
Filed under: Lacticaseibacillus rhamnosus
Lineage: Bacteria; Bacillati; Bacillota; Bacilli; Lactobacillales; Lactobacillaceae
Description: bacterial SSU rRNA
Rfam family: Bacterial small subunit ribosomal RNA
Source: RNAcentral